AAACUUUCAACAAUGGAUCUCUUGGCUCUCGCAUCGAUGAAGAACGCAGCGAAAUGCGAUAAGUAAUGUGAAUUGCAGAAUUCCGUGAAUCAUCAAAUUUUGAACGCAAAUUGGCAC
This 117-nucleotide ribosomal RNA is filed under the name Racocetra verrucosa. RNAcentral's name for it is "partial 5.8S ribosomal RNA". It matches the Rfam family "5.8S ribosomal RNA", at positions 1 to 116 of the family's 154-position model. Rfam says of the family: 5.8S ribosomal RNA (5.8S rRNA) is a component of the large subunit of the eukaryotic ribosome. It is transcribed by RNA polymerase I as part of the 45S precursor that also contains 18S and 28S rRNA. The record is from RNAcentral. Lineage: Eukaryota; Fungi; Glomeromycota; Glomeromycetes; Diversisporales; Gigasporaceae.